GGGGAUGUAGCUUUGCAGGAGAGUGCUGGUUUGGUUUACCACCAUGCAUGAAGCCCUGAGUUCAACUCCCAGCAUCACCA
This 80-nucleotide transfer RNA is filed under the name Ictidomys tridecemlineatus (thirteen-lined ground squirrel). RNAcentral's name for it is "Spermophilus tridecemlineatus (thirteen-lined ground squirrel) tRNA". It matches the Rfam family "tRNA". Rfam says of the family: Transfer RNA (tRNA) molecules are approximately 80 nucleotides in length. Their secondary structure includes four short double-helical elements and three loops (D, anti-codon, and T loops). Lineage: Eukaryota; Metazoa; Chordata; Mammalia; Rodentia; Sciuridae. The record is from Rfam by way of RNAcentral.